UAUCUCAAUCAGGCCUCAAGUUGGUGUCCGUCAUGGAUGAUGGUCAUCCGUGACGGGCUCCAACUUGAGGCCCGAUUGAGAUA
This 83-nucleotide non-coding RNA is filed under the name Oryza sativa (Asian cultivated rice). Its record names the gene osa-MIR817. RNAcentral also lists the same sequence under 1 other name. The record is from miRBase by way of RNAcentral. Lineage: Eukaryota; Viridiplantae; Streptophyta; Magnoliopsida; Poales; Poaceae.